RNAcentral lists this ribosomal RNA (756 nucleotides) under Piptocephalis tieghemiana. Its description in RNAcentral is "eukaryotic LSU rRNA". It matches the Rfam family "Eukaryotic large subunit ribosomal RNA", at positions 56 to 609 of the family's 3401-position model. The record is from RNAcentral. Lineage: Eukaryota; Fungi; Zoopagomycota; Zoopagomycetes; Zoopagales; Piptocephalidaceae.
GAAAAGAAACCAACAGGGAUUCCCCUAGUAACGGCGAGUGAAGCGGGAAGAGCUCAAAUUUAAAAUCGUGUCAGGGUGACCUGGUCACGAAUUGUAGUUUGAUGAGGUAUGCUUGGUGGGCGCCUGGGUCAAAAUCCUUUGGAAAAGGGUAUCAUAGAGGGUGACAAUCCCGUCUGUGAUCCAGUCAGCGGUCUAUCGUGUAAGCUACCUUCAAAGAGUCGGGUUGUUUGGGAAUGCAGCCCUAAGCUGGUGGUAAAUUCCAUCUAAGGCUAAAUAUUCGUGAGAGACCGAUAGCGAACAAGUACCGUGAGGGAAAGUUGAAAAGCACUCUGGAGAGAGAGUCAAACAGCACGUGAAAUUGUUAACAGGGAAACGUUGGGCACCAGUACGCGCCUCGCGUAAAAUCAACCAUCUCUUCCCCAAGGGUAUACGUCUGAGUGGAUGAGCCUUAAAAAGCCAUUGCUCAGUCGUUGCCUGAGGGGGGUGGUGCACUUUUGCGUGGGCGGGUCAACAUCAGUUAGGACCGUCGGAAAAUCCUCAAGGGAAGGUAGGUAUCGGAUUCGUCUGGUACAACUUAUAGCCCUUGUUGAACGCGACGAUUCUGACUGUGGAGCCGCGACUCGUGCUUCCUUCGGGAGGCAGGCCCCCAGGGCUCUCAUUCUCCGCCGGGGCUAGACAGCUUGCUGACUAGUCUUGGUCUGGAGGAUGAUGUGGUCAGGGUAGGGUUCUAGCGAGUCUCCGGACGUGCCGAAAAUC